ACAGAAGUGAAGCUCUAGGUUUGAUUUACACAAAUUUGGCAUUAUGAGACAAUCUAUCCGGUCCGGACACCAUUAGAACUGGCAGAUUGAAAGCUCUUUCUCGAUUUGGUGUUUGGUGGUGCAUGGCCGUUCUUAGUUGGUGGAGUGAUUUGUCUGGUUUAUUCCAAUAACGAGCGAGACUCUAGCCUGCUAAAUAGUUGGCGAAUCUUAGGGUUCGUAUAACUUCAUAGAGGGAUAAUCGGUGUUUAGCCGCACGAGAUUGAGCUGCACGCGUGCUACACUGGUGGAGUCAGCGGGUUAUUCCUAUGCCAAAAGGUAUCGGUAAACCAGCUCAUGUUGAUUACGUCCCUGCCCUUUGUA
This 360-nucleotide non-coding RNA is filed under the name Caenorhabditis remanei. RNAcentral's name for it is "Eukaryotic small subunit ribosomal RNA". It matches the Rfam family "Eukaryotic small subunit ribosomal RNA", at positions 1171 to 1588 of the family's 1831-position model. Lineage: Eukaryota; Metazoa; Nematoda; Chromadorea; Rhabditida; Rhabditidae. The record is from Rfam by way of RNAcentral.